This 253-nucleotide ribosomal RNA is filed under the name uncultured bacterium. RNAcentral's name for it is "partial 16S ribosomal RNA". It matches the Rfam family "Bacterial small subunit ribosomal RNA", at positions 524 to 776 of the family's 1533-position model. The record is from RNAcentral.
UACAGAGGGUGCAAGCGUUAAUCGGAAUUACUGGGCGUAAAGCGCGCGUAGGUGGUUUGGUGAGUCGGAUGUGAAAUCCCCGGGCUUAACCUGGGAAUUGCAUUCGAUACUGCCUGACUCGAGUGUGGAAGAGGGAAGCGGAAUUUCCGGUGUAGCGGUGAAAUGCGUAGAUAUCGGAAGGAACACCAGUGGCGAAGGCGGCUUCCUGGUCCAACACUGACACUGAGGCGCGAAAGCGUGGGUAGCGAACAGG